RNAcentral lists this ribosomal RNA (487 nucleotides) under uncultured bacterium. RNAcentral's name for it is "bacterial SSU rRNA". It matches the Rfam family "Bacterial small subunit ribosomal RNA", at positions 501 to 987 of the family's 1533-position model. The record is from RNAcentral.
CUACGUGCCAGCAGCCGCGGUAAUACGUAGGUGGCGAGCGUUGUCCGGAAUUAUUGGGCGUAAAGGGAGCGCAGGCGGACAUAUAAGUCCAUCUUAAAAGUGCGGGGCUCAACCCCGUGAGGGGAUGGAAACUGUAUGCCUUGAGUGCAGGAGAGGAAAGCGGAAUUCCCAGUGUAGCGGUGAAAUGCGUAGAUAUUGGGAGGAACACCAGUGGCGAAGGCGGCUUUCUGGACUGUAACUGACGCUGAGGCUCGAAAGCCAGGGGAGCGAACGGGAUUAGAUACCCCGGUAGUCCUGGCCGUAAACGAUGAAUGCUAGGUGUAGGAGGUAUCGACCCCUCCUGUGCCGGAGUUAACGCAAUAAGCAUUCCGCCUGGGGAGUACGGUCGCAAGACUGAAACUCAAAGGAAUUGACGGGGGCCCGCACAAGCGGUGGAGUAUGUGGUUUAAUUCGACGCAACGCGAAGAACCUUACCAGGGCUUGACAU